AGACUCCUACGGGAGGCAGCAGUGGGGAAUAUUGGGCAAUGGAGGAAACUCUGACCCAGCGACGCCGCGUGCGGGAUGAAGGCCUUCGGGUUGUAAACCGCUUUCAGUAGGGAAGAAGCGAAAGUGACGGUACCUACAGAAGAAGCACCGGCUAACUAUGUGCCAGCAGCCGCGGUAAUACAUAGGGUGCAAGCGUUGUCCGGAAUUAUUGGGCGUAAAGAGCUCGUAGGUGGUUCGAUACGUCGGAUGUGAAAAUCUGGGGCUCAACCCCUGACCUGCAUUCGAUACGGUCGAGCUAGAGUUUGGUAGGGGAGA
This 315-nucleotide ribosomal RNA is filed under the name uncultured bacterium. RNAcentral describes it as "bacterial SSU rRNA". It matches the Rfam family "Bacterial small subunit ribosomal RNA", at positions 333 to 660 of the family's 1533-position model. The record is from RNAcentral.